RNAcentral lists this ribosomal RNA (305 nucleotides) under uncultured bacterium. RNAcentral describes it as "bacterial SSU rRNA". It matches the Rfam family "Bacterial small subunit ribosomal RNA", at positions 335 to 638 of the family's 1533-position model. The record is from RNAcentral.
CUUCCUACGGGACGCAGCAGUGAGGAAUAUUGGUCAAUGGGCGCGAGCCUGAACUAGCCAAGUCGCGUGAGGGAAGACGGUCCGAUGGAUUGUAAACUUCUUUUGUCGGGGAGCAAAAGACGCCACGCGUGGCGUUCCGAGAGUACCCGAAGAAAAAGCAUCGGCUAACUCCGUGCCAGCAGCCGCGGUAAUACGGAGGAUGCGAGCGUUAUCCGGAUUUAUUGGGUUUAAAGGGUGCGCAGUCGGAAGAUCAAGUCAGCGGUAAAAUUGAGAGGCUCAACCUCUUCGAGCCGUUGAAACUGGUU